UGGGGAAUAUUGCGCAAUGGGGGAAACCCUGACGCAGCAACGCCGCGUGAAGGAUGAAGGUUUUCGGAUUGUAAACUUCUUUGACGAGGGACGAUAAUGACGGUACCUCGAAAACAAGCCACGGCUAACUACGUGCCAGCAGCCGCGGUAAUACGUAGGUGGCGAGCGUUGUCCGGAUUUACUGGGUGUAAAGGGCGAGUAGGCGGGAUUGCAAGUCAGUAGUGAAAUACCACGGCUCAACUGUGGGGCUGCUAUUGAAACUGCGAUUCUUGAGUGAUGGAGAGGCAGGCGGAAUUCCCGGUGUAGCGGUGAAAUGCGUAGAGAUCGGGAGGAACACCAGUGGCGAAGGGGGCUUUCUGGACGAUAACUGACGCUGAGGCGCGAAAGCGUGGGUAGCAAACAGG
RNAcentral lists this ribosomal RNA (404 nucleotides) under uncultured prokaryote. RNAcentral describes it as "bacterial SSU rRNA". It matches the Rfam family "Bacterial small subunit ribosomal RNA", at positions 355 to 776 of the family's 1533-position model. The record is from RNAcentral. RNAcentral also lists the same sequence under 1 other name.